UUUUUGUACCAUUUUGAUAUUUAUUAAUAAACUGAUAGGGAUCCACACCAAACCCUCCACCUAACAAGAUGGCUUUAUAUUUAAAUCCCUAGUUCUCAAUUUUUUUUAAUUUAUUCAUGCUUUUUUUUAAAAAAAUUAAAAAUUAUAAACAUGCCGUCCAAAUAGACCGUGCCAUGGCACAGCCUAUUUCAAGGGGCCUGGGCCG
This 205-nucleotide long non-coding RNA is filed under the name Elaeis guineensis (African oil palm). RNAcentral describes it as "long non-coding RNA (EGUI_LNC019458)". The record is from RNAcentral. Lineage: Eukaryota; Viridiplantae; Streptophyta; Magnoliopsida; Arecales; Arecaceae.